This 513-nucleotide ribosomal RNA is filed under the name uncultured bacterium. RNAcentral's name for it is "bacterial SSU rRNA". It matches the Rfam family "Bacterial small subunit ribosomal RNA", at positions 31 to 518 of the family's 1533-position model. The record is from RNAcentral.
GAACGCUGGCGGCGUGCCUAACACAUGCAAGUCGAGCGAGAAAACUCCUUUCGGGGAGUGAGUAAAGCGGCGCACGGGUGAGUAACGCGUGGGUAACCUACCCUGGAGUGGGGGAUAACCAGCCGAAAGGCUGACUAAUCCCGCAUACGAUCAGCAGGCUCAAGCCUGCUGAGGAAAGAUGGCCUCUGCUUGCAAGCUAUCGCUCUUGGACGGGCCCGCGUUGGAUUAGCUAGUUGGUGAGGUAACGGCUCACCAAGGCUGCGAUCCAUAGCUGGUUUGAGAGGACGACCAGCCACACUGGAACUGAGACACGGUCCAGACUCCUACGGGAGGCAGCAGUGAGGAAUAUUGCGCAAUGGGGGAAACCCUGACGCAGCGACGCCGUGUGAGCGAAUGAAGGCCUUCGGGUUGUAAAGCUCUGUCAGAGGGAAAGAAAGGGUCGGCGGAAUAAUACCCGCAGACAUUGACGGUACCCUCAGAGGAAGCACCGGCUAACUCCGUGCCAGCAGCUGC